Molecule: ribosomal RNA, 658 nt
Filed under: uncultured Archaeorhizomycetes
Lineage: Eukaryota; Fungi; Ascomycota; Archaeorhizomycetes
Description: eukaryotic LSU rRNA
Rfam family: Eukaryotic large subunit ribosomal RNA
Source: RNAcentral
UCUCUUUGAGCGGGCUGGUUCCCUUAGGACAUAGCCGUUUUUGAGACCAGAAACUUUGAACCUUUGACCUCAGAUCAGGUAGGGACACCGCCUGAACUUAAGCAUAUCAAUAAGGCGAGGAAUAGAAACCAACAGGGAUUCCCCCAGUAGUGGCGAAUGAAGCGGGAAAAGCUCAAGUUUGAAAUCUGGUAGGUAAAACUGUCCAGAGUUGUAAGCUGGAGAGGCGAUGUCCGACGCGGUCCAGGCUCAAUUUCCUUGGAACAGGAGGUCAUGGAGGGUGAGAACCCCGUACAUGGCUUGGGUACCGCCGUCCUUGUGACGCGUCCUCUAAGAGUCGGGUUGCUUGGGAAUGCAGCUCAAAAUGGGUGGUAAAUUUCAUCUAAAGCUAAAUAUUGGCGAGAGACCGAUAGCAAACAAGUAGAGUGAUCGAAAGAUGAAAAGUACUUUGAAAAGAGAGUGAAACAGUACGUGAAAUUGUUGAAAGGGAAGCGUUUGGCAUCAGCCCAUGGCGGUGGUCGAACAUCUGGGCUUCUGCCUAGUGCACUCGGCCGCCGUUGGGCCAGCGUCGGCUCUGCCUGCCAGAGAAAGGCCUUGGGGAAGUGGCUCUCUUCGGGGAGCGUUAUAACCCUUGGUGUCAUGCGGCUGGGCGGGGCCGAGG